RNAcentral lists this non-coding RNA (45 nucleotides) under Schistosoma margrebowiei. The record is from RNAcentral. Lineage: Eukaryota; Metazoa; Platyhelminthes; Trematoda; Strigeidida; Schistosomatidae.
AUCCGGUUGGCGAGUUUCAAACAGGACGAAACGCGUGUGCUGGAU